AUUGAACGCUGGCGGCAGGCCUAACACAUGCAAGUCGAGCGGAUGAAGGGAGCUUGCUCCUGGCUUACGUGACGGACGGGUGAGUGAUGCCUAGGAAUCUGACUGGUCGAGGGGGAUAACGUCAGUUCACGGGCGCUGAUAUAGCAUCCGAUCUGAGGGUGAACGUGGGGGAUCUUUGGAGCUAGCGCUAUCAGAUGAGCCUAGGUCGGAUUAGCUAGUUGGUGGGGUAAAGGCCUACCAAGGCGACGAUCCGUAACUGGUCUGAGAGGAUGAUCAGUCACACUGGAACUGAGACACGGUCCAGACUCCUACGGGAGGCAGCAGUAGGGAAUAUUGGACAAUGGGCGAAAGCCUGAUCCAGCCAUGCCGCGUGUGUGAAGAAGGUCUUCGGAUUGUAAAGCACUUUUAGUUGGGAGGAAGGACAGUAAGUGAAUACAUUGCUGUUUUGACGGUACCAACAGAAUAAGCACCGGCUAACUUCGUG
RNAcentral lists this ribosomal RNA (484 nucleotides) under uncultured bacterium. RNAcentral describes it as "partial 16S ribosomal RNA". It matches the Rfam family "Bacterial small subunit ribosomal RNA", at positions 30 to 507 of the family's 1533-position model. The record is from RNAcentral.